Molecule: long non-coding RNA, 158 nt
Organism: Myripristis murdjan (pinecone soldierfish)
Lineage: Eukaryota; Metazoa; Chordata; Actinopteri; Holocentriformes; Holocentridae
Exons: 3
Source: RefSeq, a predicted model, not a curated record
UAAAUAAAUUCAGGCAUUAAGGGGUUAGGGUCAGAGUGAAACGUUUUUGUUCGAUUCUCUGCAUGUCUAGCACAUAACUGCAGAAUUGACAAUAAAGCAUCUUGAAUCUUGAAUCUUGUAACAGUGUUGGUUGUCUGAUUGGGCCAUUUUGCAUAACU